CCCGCACAAGCGGAGGAACAUUGUGGUUUAAUUCGAUGAUACGCGAGGAACCUUACCUGGGCUUAAAUGUAGAGUGCAUUAGUGGGAAACCAUUAUUUUCUUUCGGAACUCUUUGCAAGGUGCUGCAUGGUUGUCGUCAGCUCGUGCCGUGAGGUGUCGGGUUAAGUCCCAUAACGAGCGCAACCCUUAUCGUUAGUUGCCAGCGGGUAAUGCCGGGAACUCUAGCGAAACUGCCGGUGUAAACCGAGAGGAAGGUGGGGAUGACGUCAAAUCAGCACGGCCCUUAUGUCCAGGGCUACACACGUGUUACAAUAGCCGGUACAGAGGGCAGCUACCUGGAGACAGGAUGCGAAUCUCGAAAGCCGGUCUCAGUUCGGAUCGGAGUCUGCAACUCGACUCCGUGAAGCCGGAAUCGCUAGUAAUCGCGGAUCAGCCAUGCCGCGGUGAAUACGUUCCCGGGCCUU
This 464-nucleotide ribosomal RNA is filed under the name uncultured Sphingobacteriales bacterium. RNAcentral's name for it is "bacterial SSU rRNA". It matches the Rfam family "Bacterial small subunit ribosomal RNA", at positions 920 to 1382 of the family's 1533-position model. Lineage: Bacteria; Pseudomonadati; Bacteroidota; Sphingobacteriia; Sphingobacteriales. The record is from RNAcentral.